CAGCCGCCACGGUAAUACAGAGUGUGCGAGCGUUAAUCGGAUUUACUGGGCGUAAAGCGUGCGUAGGCGGCUUCUUAAGUCGGAUGUGAAAUCCCUGAGCUUAACUUAGGAAUUGCAUUCGAUACUGGGAAGCUAGAGUAUGGGAGAGGAUGGUAGAAUUCCAGGUGUAGCGGUGAAAUGCGUAGAGAUCUGGAGGAAUACCGAUGGCGAAGGCAGCCAUCUGGCCUAAUACUGACGCUGAGGUACGAAAGCAUGGGGAGCAAACAGGAUUAGAUACCCCGGUAGUCCCUGUCUCUUAUAA
This 301-nucleotide ribosomal RNA is filed under the name uncultured bacterium. Its description in RNAcentral is "partial 16S ribosomal RNA". It matches the Rfam family "Bacterial small subunit ribosomal RNA", at positions 509 to 809 of the family's 1533-position model. The record is from RNAcentral.